AAAGAAUAGAGGCUUCUUUAGCAGAAAGACAGAGGACAAAAAGACAGAGGACAGAGAGACUGAGUCGAAGAAAAGGAACGCACAGCCGGACAUUUUCCCUGAAACGAGAAAGAAUAGAGGCUUCUUUAGCAGAAAGACAGAGGACAAAAAGACAGAGGACAGAGAGACUGAGUCGAAGAAAAGGAACGCACAGCUGGACAUUCUACUUGAAACGAGAAAGAUUAGAGACUUCUUUAGCAGAAAGAUGAAGGACAGAAAGACUGAAUCGAAGAAAAGGAACGCACGUCUGGACAUUCUACUUGAAACGAGAAAGAUUAGAGACUUCUUUAGCAGAAAGAUGAAGGACAGAAAGACUGAAUCGAAGAAAAGGAACGCACGGGUCUGUCCCGAGUCUUCCCCCAUCCUCUGACCGAGCUCACAACCAGAUGGUGAUCAGUUGACAGCUCUGCCCCUCUCUUUACCCGAGUGUCCAGAACAUGC
Molecule: long non-coding RNA, 480 nt
Organism: Gasterosteus aculeatus aculeatus (three-spined stickleback)
Lineage: Eukaryota; Metazoa; Chordata; Actinopteri; Perciformes; Gasterosteidae
Source: Ensembl